This is a transfer RNA of Exidia glandulosa HHB12029, 100 nucleotides long. It matches the Rfam family "tRNA". From Rfam's summary of the family: Transfer RNA (tRNA) molecules are approximately 80 nucleotides in length. Their secondary structure includes four short double-helical elements and three loops (D, anti-codon, and T loops). Lineage: Eukaryota; Fungi; Basidiomycota; Agaricomycetes; Auriculariales; Exidiaceae. The record is from Rfam.
GACGCGAUGGCCGAGUGGUUAAGGCGAUUGACUCGAACGGUCCCAGGACCACGUGAUCAAUUUCGUUAUGCGAGCGUAGGUUCAAGUCCUACUCGCGUCG